This 2766-nucleotide long non-coding RNA is filed under the name Phocoena sinus (vaquita). Its description in RNAcentral is "lncRNA (ENSPSNG00000014842.1)". Lineage: Eukaryota; Metazoa; Chordata; Mammalia; Artiodactyla; Phocoenidae. The record is from RNAcentral.
GUUUUUGGAUGGAAUGUCCUAUAAAAGUCAACUAAAUCUGUCUGGUCUAUUGUGUCAUUUAAAGCUUGUGUUUCCUUAUUAAUUUUCUGUCUGGAUGAUCUCUCCACCGGUGUAAGUGAGGCGUUAAAGUCCCCCACUAUUAUUGUGUUACUGUCGAUUUCCUCUUUUGUAGCUCUUAGCAUUUGCCUUAUGUAUUGAGGUGCUCCUAUGUUGGGUGCAUAUAUAUUUAUAAUUGUUAUAUCUUCUUCUUGGAUUGAUCGCUUGAUCAUUAUGUAGUGUCCUUCCUUUCCUUUUGUAACAGUGUUUAUUUUAAAGUCUAUUUUAUCUGAUAUGAGUAUUGCUACUCCAGCCUUCUUUUGACUUCCAUUCGCAUGGAAUAUCUUUUUCCAUCCCCUCACUUUCAGUCUGUAUGUGUCCCUAAGUCUGAAGUGGGUGUCCUGUAGAUAGUAUAUGGGUCCUGUUUUUGGAUCCAUUAGUGAGCCUGUGUCUUUUGGUUGGAGCAUCGAAUCCAUUCACGUUUAAGGUGAUUAUGAACAUGUGUGUUCCUAUUACCAUUUUCUUAAUUGUUUUGGGUUUGUUUUUGUAGGUCCUUUUAUUUCUUGUGUUUCCCACUUAGAGAAGUUCCUUUAGCAUUUGUUGUAGAGUUGGUUUGGUGGUGCUGAAUUUUCUUACCUUUUGCUUGUCUGUAAGUUUUGAUUUCUCUGUCGAAUCUGAAUGAGAUCCUUGCUGGGUAAUCUUGGUUGUAGGUUCUUCCCUCUUAUCACUUUAAAUAUAUCAUGCCACUCCUUUCUGGCUUGUAGAAUUUCUGCUGAAAAAUCAGCUGUUAACCUUAUGGGAGUUCCUUGUAUGUUGUCAUUUUUCCCUUGUUGCUUUUAAUAAUUUUUCUUUGUCUUUUUGUCAAUUUGAUUGCUACGUGUUUUGGUGUGUUUCUCCUUGGGUUUAUCCUGCCUGGGACUGUCUGCACUUCCUGGACUUUGGUGGCUAUUUCCUUUCCCAUAUUAGGGAAGUUUUUGUCUCUAAUCUGUUCAAAUAUUUUCUCAGGUCCUUUCUCUCUCUUCUCCUUCUGGGACCCCCAUAAUGUAAAUGUUGUUGUGUUUAAUGUUGUCCCAGAAGUCUCUUAGGCUCUCUUCAUUUCUUUUCAUUCUUUUUUCUUUAUUCUGUUCCACAGCAGUGAAUUCCACCAUUCUGUCUUCCAGGUCACUUAUCCGUUCUUCUGCCUCAGUUAUUCUGCUACUGAUUCCUUCUAGUGUAUUUUUCAUUUCAGAUAUUGUAUUGCUCAUCUCUGUUUGUUUGUUCUUUAAUUCUUCUAGGUGUUUGUUAAACAUUUUUUGCAUCUUUUCGAUCUUUGCCUCCAUUCUUUUUCUAGGUCCUGGAUCAUCUUCAUUAUCAUUAUUCUGAAUUCUUUUUCUGGAAGGUUGCCUAUCUCCACUUCAUUUAGUUGUUUUUCUGGGGUUUUAUCUUGUUCUUUUGUCUGGUACAUAGUCCUCUGCCUUUUCACUUUGUCUGCCCUUCUGUGAAUGUGGUUUUUGUUCCACAGGUGGCAGAAUUGUAGUUCUUCUUGCUUCUGCUGUCUGCCCUCUGGUGGAUGAGGCUAUCUAAUAAGGUUGUGCAAGCUUCCUGAUGGGAGGGACUGGUGCUGGGUAGAGCUGGGCGUUGCUCCGGUGGGCAGAGCUCAGCAAAACUUUAAUCCUCUUGUUUGCUGAUGGGUGGGGUUGGGUUCCCUCCCUGUUGGUUGUUUGGCCUGAGGCCACCCAGCACUGGAGCCUACCCAGCUCUUUGGUGGGAUAAUGGUGGACUCUGGGAGGGCUCACACCCAGGACUGCUUCCCAGAACUUCUGCUGCCAGUGUCCUUGUCCCCAUGGUGAGCCACAGCUGCACCCUGCCUCUGCAGGAGACCCUCCAACACUAUCAGAUAAAGAAACUGUGGCUCAGAGCGACUAAGUAGCCAGCACAAAGUCACAGAGCGAAUAAGUGGCAGACGUAGUGUGGAAAUGCAAGUGGGUCCGUCUCUAAACCCAUGCUCUUUCAGUUCUACCACGCAAGGAUGCAACACUUUCACUACACGCUUCUUAAAGAGGUGGUAAAGGGCAACCCUUCCCCACUGAGCCUGUAAAGCGAACCAACACUGCUCUCCAGGGCUUAUAACAAUUAUUUUGUUUUGCCUUUUUAAAAAUGCAAACAUAGUGGAUUAUAAACAUCUUCUCUCCUAAAGGAUCCAUUAAUUGCAUCCCCACUGCACCACCAUCCAUAUGUCUACGAGAAAGCUGAAGGAUUUUGGGAAACACAUAAUUAAGACCCAAAAGGGAAGCCAAGAAUGAAGAAAAGCUUCCAAAGGAUGGAGUGACUGCCAGCAAGGCUUCCCAAGGAACUGCCCUGAGACAAAUGAGGUGUGAACAUAGGUGGUUUUCUUAUAAAACUACCAGGAAGGAAGAGGGAUAAAGGGUCCCUAGGAGUAUAAACAACAUCAGUUAAGGACAAGAAAGGAAAAGGAGAUAGUGCUGCCAGCCAGAGGGAUAAAGGGAAAUAAGAUGCCCUUUUACUCUUGUGCCAGGAGAGAAACCAAUGCCAGAGAGGAUCAUUCUAAACCUAUUAAGAAAUAAAGGGAGAAUUAGAUCCACGGGCCCAUUUGGAAGCUAAGACAGCAAAAUGGUUUGUUGUCUGCCAGUGGGAAGACCAACAGAAAACUAGAACAAUUUAUAAACAUGCUUAUCCAAGAGAUUUGGACUGCAAGGAACUGUAAAAGAUUGGAAGAAGAGACUGUCAUCC